CCUACGGGUGACUGCAGUGGGGAAUAUUGGUCAAUGGGCGCAAGCCUGACCCAGCAACGCCGCGUGAAGGAAGAAGGCUUUCGGGUUUUAAACUUCUUUUCUCAGGGACGAAGCAAGUGACGGUACCUGAGGAAUAAGCCACGGCUAACUACGUGCAAGCAGCCGCGGUAAUACGUAGGUGGCAGGCGUUAUCCGGAUUUACUGGUUGUAAAGGGCGUGUAGGCGGGACUGCAAGUCAGAUGUGAAAACCAUGGGCUCAACCUAUGGCCUGCAUUUGAAACUGUAGUUCUUGAGUACUGGAGAGGCAGACGGAAUGCCUAGUGUAGCGGUGAAAUGCGUAGAUAUUAGGAGGAACACCAGUGGCGAAGGCGGUCUGCUGGACAGCAACUGACGCUGAGGCGCGAAAGCGUGGGGAGCAAACAGGAUUAGAUACCCGAGUAGUC
This 443-nucleotide ribosomal RNA is filed under the name uncultured bacterium. Its description in RNAcentral is "partial 16S ribosomal RNA". It matches the Rfam family "Bacterial small subunit ribosomal RNA", at positions 338 to 795 of the family's 1533-position model. The record is from RNAcentral.